ACUGAUGGUGCAUUCUCUAACUUGUCCCCACCCAUGCUUUCUUCUGGUCCCUGCCUCGGAGCCUCAGUUUCCCCAUCUGCAAACUCCGGACCCUGGAGGCGCUGUUUGGAAUGUGAGAUGGGCGUGCAGACCUGGGCCAGAGAGAGAGCCAAGGAAGUCCACAGUGGAGAGAGGGCUGUGCUGGGGGUUCCAGGAAGACUUCCUGGAGGAGGGGAUCUUGGAGCUAGGCCUUGAAGACGAGUUUGUCAAAUGAGGAAGGGCAUCCGAAGCCGAGGGAACGGUACAAGGGAACGCUGGGGAGGGGAGAGAAUCUGGAGAGUUCCGGAAAAAGCAAGUAGGACUCUUUCCAGAAGUUCGGGCAAGAUUUUCCCUGGAUCAGGGCGUGGGUUCUCCAGUACUCGUCCCUCCCGGUCACCGAGAUGCUCUGAGUUUCCGGUCUGAACCUGAACUAAAGAGGUGUAGUCCCUCCUUUCUUGAACGGGAAAACUGAACGCACAUAGGUCCUUGCCACGCCUAAGGCUGCGGAGUGAGCAGAUGGAAAAUGCGGGACUCAAAACCU
Molecule: small RNA, 559 nt
Filed under: Pan troglodytes (chimpanzee)
Lineage: Eukaryota; Metazoa; Chordata; Mammalia; Primates; Hominidae
Description: processed transcript
Source: RNAcentral